RNAcentral lists this long non-coding RNA (566 nucleotides) under Homo sapiens (human). RNAcentral's name for it is "non-protein coding lnc-MBP-13:6". The record is from RNAcentral. Lineage: Eukaryota; Metazoa; Chordata; Mammalia; Primates; Hominidae.
AGAAGCCAGAUGAUUCUGCCUGUGCAGGAAUGAAGUGCGACCCGGCGCGCGAGGGAGGGAGGCCUCUGCGCUUUGGCUCCGGCCGCGCCUCCUCCCUGGGAUCCGGUCUAGGGCUGGCGAGCUCCGCGGAUCCCUGCUCAGAGCGGGGCUGCUGCACCACCUGCCGCGGGUGGCCAAAGCAGAAAAAAAAGAAAAAAAUGGGAGUGGGGAAUACAAACGUCUUAUUUUCUUUUAAAGAAUAGUGAAACUAACAGAGGAGAAUCUGAAAAAAAGAGAAACCUGGGUGAACUUUCACGGACAACCUCAGAGGACAACGAAGUGUUCGGACUCACACCACCCGGCAAGAACUGCUCACUACGGCUCCCUGCCCCAGAAGUCACACGGCCGGACCCAAGAUGAAAACCCCGUAGUCCACUUCUUCAAGAACAUUGUGACGCCUCGCACACCACCCCCGUCGCAGGGAAAGGGGGCCGAAGGCCAGAGACCAGGAUUUGGCUACGGAGGCAGAGCGUCCGACUAUAAAUCGGCUCACAAGGGAUUCAAGGGAGUCGAUGCCCAGGGCACGC